GAGCGAGGAGGACUCGAAAAUGAUGAGCGAGUGGAGGCAGACAUGGUUGUUGUGAUAUAUUUGAGGAGUUGUUCUCCCUCUGUUUUAUAUGUGGACAUUUGGGACCACUGUUAGAAUUUGGUUGACCACUUGACAUGUGAGAGCCUGAGGAGUUGUUCCCCCUCUGUCCAUGUUCGAGGACUUGCUCUCUGUCUGCCUCCACUCUCUGCCUUCACUGUACCAAAGUUUGUCUGUUGAUUCUCCUCUAGUCUGGUUGACCACUUGACAUGUGAGAGCCUGAGGAGUUGUUUUCCAGACACAGGUAGAGCUGGCAGGGGC
Molecule: long non-coding RNA, 318 nt
Organism: Pleuronectes platessa (European plaice)
Lineage: Eukaryota; Metazoa; Chordata; Actinopteri; Pleuronectiformes; Pleuronectidae
Exons: 4
Source: RefSeq, a predicted model, not a curated record